GAAGUAGUAAGUUUUUGUAAUUGUUGCCCUGUGUCUACGUUUGUGUCUGUGUAUAUGGAUUCCCCAGCAGUACAGUUGUGUUAAACUUAGAAAUAAAGUAGUAUGUACAGCAAAGAUUAUGUAAUAUUAAAAAAAAAUAUUACCUCUGUCUACAACGGGAACGAAUCUAACUGAACCCUACAGACUAAUUCCAUGCAGCCUGAGCAAUACUGGGUUUAAAGGUGUAAAAAUAUCUGUCCGAUUAUUCAAUGCAAUGCGAGUCACUGAAUAUAUUGACUUCAUCUGAAGAUAUUGACUUCAUCUGAAGACUACCUUAAACUGAGGUUUUUUACAAGCAAAGAACUAACUUUGUUAAAGACGGCUGCAAACACGUCUUGAUGAUUGUUGAUAUCAAUUCCUUCAACGC
Ciona intestinalis (vase tunicate) is the source of this 406-nucleotide non-coding RNA. The record is from RefSeq and is a predicted model, not a curated record. NCBI's taxonomy places the organism in Eukaryota, Metazoa, Chordata, Ascidiacea, Phlebobranchia, Cionidae.